This 1337-nucleotide ribosomal RNA is filed under the name Kocuria rosea. RNAcentral describes it as "bacterial SSU rRNA". It matches the Rfam family "Bacterial small subunit ribosomal RNA", at positions 81 to 1428 of the family's 1533-position model. Lineage: Bacteria; Bacillati; Actinomycetota; Actinomycetes; Micrococcales; Micrococcaceae. The record is from RNAcentral.
UUGCUGGGCGGAUUAUGGCGAACGGGUGAGUAAUACGUGAGUAACCUGCCCUUGACUCUGGGAUAAGCCUGGGAAACUGGGUCUAAUACUGGAUACUACUUCCUGCCGCAUGGUGGGUGGUGGAAAGGGUUUUACUGGUUUUGGAUGGGCUCACGGCCUAUCAGCUUGUUGGUGGGGUAAUGGCUCACCAAGGCGACGACGGGUAGCCGGCCUGAGAGGGUGACCGGCCACACUGGGACUGAGACACGGCCCAGACUCCUACGGGAGGCAGCAGUGGGGAAUAUUGCACAAUGGGCGGAAGCCUGAUGCAGCGACGCCGCGUGAGGGAUGACGGCCUUCGGGUUGUAAACCUCUUUCAGUAGGGAAGAAGCGAGAGUGACGGUACCUGCAGAAGAAGCGCCGGCUAACUACGUGCCAGCAGCCGCGGUAAUACGUAGGGCGCAAGCGUUGUCCGGAAUUAUUGGGCGUAAAGAGCUCGUAGGCGGUUUGUCGCGUCUGCUGUGAAAGCCCGGGGCUCAACCCCGGGUCUGCAGUGGGUACGGGCAGACUAGAGUGCAGUAGGGGAGACUGGAAUUCCUGGUGUAGCGGUGAAAUGCGCAGAUAUCAGGAGGAACACCGAUGGCGAAGGCAGGUCUCUGGGCUGUUACUGACGCUGAGGAGCGAAAGCAUGGGGAGCGAACAGGAUUAGAUACCCUGGUAGUCCAUGCCGUAAACGUUGGGCACUAGGUGUGGGGGACAUUCCACGUUUUCCGCGCCGUAGCUAACGCAUUAAGUGCCCCGCCUGGGGAGUACGGCCGCAAGGCUAAAACUCAAAGGAAUUGACGGGGGCCCGCACAAGCGGCGGAGCAUGCGGAUUAAUUCGAUGCAACGCGAAGAACCUUACCAAGGCUUGACAUUCACCGGACCGCCCCAGAGAUGGGGUUUCCCUUCGGGGCUGGUGGACAGGUGGUGCAUGGUUGUCGUCAGCUCGUGUCGUGAGAUGUUGGGUUAAGUCCCGCAACGAGCGCAACCCUCGUUCUAUGUUGCCAGCACGUGAUGGUGGGGACUCAUAGGAGACUGCCGGGGUCAACUCGGAGGAAGGUGGGGAUGACGUCAAAUCAUCAUGCCCCUUAUGUCUUGGGCUUCACGCAUGCUACAAUGGCCGGUACAAAGGGUUGCGAUACUGUGAGGUGGAGCUAAUCCCAAAAAGCCGGUCUCAGUUCGGAUUGAGGUCUGCAACUCGACCUCAUGAAGUCGGAGUCGCCUGUAAUCGCAGAUCAGCAACGCUGCGGUGAAUACGUUCCCGGGCCUUGUACACACCGCCCGUCAAGUCACGAAAGUUGGUAACACCCGAAGCC